UAACACAUGCAAGUCGAACGAAGUAGCAAUACUUAGUGGCAGACGGGUGAGUAACAUGUGGGUGUCUACCCUUUGGCCUGGAAUAACACGAGGAAACUUGUGCUAAUACCGGAUAAGUCUUUACGGAGAAAGCUUUAUGCACCAUUGGAUGAGCCCGCACUUGAUUAGUUUGUUGGUAGGGUAAUGGCCUACCAAGACUAUGAUCAAUAGCUGAUUUGAGAGGAUGAUCAGCCACAUUGGGACUGAGACACGGCCCAAACUCCUACGGGAGGCAGCAGUGGGGAAUCUUGCACAAUGGAGGAAACUCUGAUGCAGCGAUGCCGCGUGAGUGAAGAAGCCUUUGGGUUGUAAAGCUCUUUCGUCGGGGAAGAAAAUGACUGUACCCGAAUAAGAAGGUCCGGCUAACUUCGUGCCAGCAGCCGCGGUAAUACGAAGGGACCUAGCGUAGUUCGGAAUUACUGGGCUUAAAGAGUUCGUAGGUGGUUGAAAAAGUUGGUGGUGAAAUCCCAGAGCUUAACUCUGGAACUGCCAUCAAAACUUCUCAGCUAGAGUAUGAUAGAGGAAAGCAGAAUUUCUAGUGUAGAGGUGAAAUUCGUAGAUAUUAGAAAGAAUACCAAUUGCGAAGGCAGCUUUCUGGAUCAUUACUGACACUGAGGAACGAAAGCAUGGGUAGCGAAGAGGAUUAGAUACCCUCGUAGUCCAUGCCGUAAACGAUGUGUGUUAGACGUUGGAAAUUUAUUUUCAGUGUCGCAGGGAAACCGAUAAACACACCGCCUGGGGAGUACGACCGCAAGGUUAAAACUCAAAUGAAUUGACGGGGACCCGCACAAGUAGUGGAGCAUGUGGUUUAAUUCGAAGAUACGCGCAGAACCUUACCAACACUUGACAUGUUCGUCGCGACUCUAAGAGAUUAGAGUUUCGGUCGGCCGGACGAAACACAGGUGCUGCAUGGCUGUCGUCAGCUCGUGUCGUGAGAUGUUGGGUUAAGUCCCGCAACGAGCGCAACCCUCACUUUUAGUUGCCAUCAUUAAGUUGGGCACUCUGAAAGAACUGCCAGUGAUAAGCUGGAGGAAGGUGGGGAUGGCGUCAAGUCCUCAUGGCCCUUACGUGUUGGGCUACACACGUGCUACAAUGGCAUCUACAACAGGAAGCAAAACGGCAACGUUAAGCAAAUCCCGAAAAGAUGCCUCAGUUCGGAUUGCACUCUGCAACUCGAGUGCAUGAAGCUGGAAUUACUAGUAAUCGUGGAUCAGCGUGCCACGGUGAAUGCGUUCCCGGGUCUUGUACACACCGCCCGUCACACCAUGGGAGUUGGUUCUACCUUAAGGCAAGGUUUCAAACCCUUGACCACGGUAUAGUCAGCGACUGGGGUG
Molecule: ribosomal RNA, 1373 nt
Filed under: uncultured Pelagibacterales bacterium
Lineage: Bacteria; Pseudomonadati; Pseudomonadota; Alphaproteobacteria; Candidatus Pelagibacterales
Description: bacterial SSU rRNA
Rfam family: Bacterial small subunit ribosomal RNA
Source: RNAcentral